Long non-coding RNA from Sitodiplosis mosellana (orange wheat blossom midge), 4381 nucleotides. RefSeq lists it as uncharacterized. The record is from RefSeq and is a predicted model, not a curated record. The transcript is spliced from 2 exons. Lineage: Eukaryota; Metazoa; Arthropoda; Insecta; Diptera; Cecidomyiidae.
ACUGUUUGUUUUAAUUCUAUUGGUUUCAAUUCUUUAAUUUGCUUUAAAGUGGUGGAAAUCUGCAAAAAGUGAUAAAGAAGAGAAAAAAACCCAAUAAAAAUAGAUCGCAUGCGUUCCAUUAAACAUAGAGCGAUUGAUUUAGUUUGUGUGUGUGUGUUUUUUUUUUGGAUUUUGGUUCUAUAUUUAGUCACAUUAAAGGCGGAAUUGAACGUGUUGUCUCAUUGAAAAACAAUUCAAAAUAAAAAAUAGCCCAAUGGAAUAGUAGCAAACGUUUUGGUUUUUAUUUCUCUAUUAGUGGUAUGAAUUGAUGUUAUAAUAUUUGAUAAGCAGUUGUUAGAACCGGGCAUACCAGGUUGGAAAUGAAUUCGAGUAAUCAUUAGAAAAUACCAUUGGAUCGCUUGGGUCCAGGCCGACAUGAUGUGGCGGAAUGCCUAAUCGCUCACGCUCGAGCUGUGACAUAGCAGCUGCAGCUGCUGGGUUUGUGUAUAACGGAUACUGAGAUGGAUGCAACCCUCUGUAACAUGAAAUAAAAUCAAACAAUAAUGCGAAAAAUGACGAGACGAAAUCAUGAAGAUGGAACACAAGAUGAAUUCGACUCACGAGUGCACAUACCUCAUUCGAUACAAAUCCAUGUAGUGCGAGUCCAAUCGGGAAGACGCAACGGCUUGUGCUUGUGCUUGUGCCUGUGCUUGAGCUUGAGCUUGAGCUUGGGCCUGGGCCGCCUGAGCAUUCUUCAAAUCUUCCAAUUCCCUGUAGAAUAGAAUGUAUAUUUUGAAAUGAUUCAAUGUGCAAUGGAAAUAGUGGCAAUUCAUUGUGGAUCGAUAGCGUACCUUUCACGUGCAUACAUUGGUCCCAUUGGAUGAUGAUAUGGUGGCACCAUCGAAUCGACAGGGCUAAAUAAACGUUGGAAUUUUGAAAAUUGACAACCGUUAAUGAAUGAAUUCACUUUCGUUGAAUUUUCACGUGUAAUUUAAUUACCUGAAAGCAACAUGUGGUCGUGCAUAUUCUGACAGUUGUCGCAUUGCAGGUGUAUCAAAUGGUUUGAUUUCGGCUUUGAUUUUCGCUUGUUGUGCUGCCGCAGCGGCUUGCUGUUGCUGUUGCUGAUGAGCAGCGGCCGCUUGUUGUUGUUGCUGCUGCUGUUGUUGCUGUUGUUGCUGUUGCUGCUGUUGUUGCUGCUGUAGUUGUUGUUUUACACAUAUCUAAUUAGUUUUUGUUUGACUUUUAAAACGGACAAAGAGAAAAAACCGACAGAAGAAGAAGAAAACUGUUUGUACAAACCUGUUGCUGCACGGCUUGUUGAGCCUGUUGCUGUUGCCUUCUUUCACGUUCCUUUUCAGCCAAUUUACGAUCACGUUCCUCUCGUUUGCGCGCCAAUUUCGAAUCAGCCACCGGCUUGAAUUCCAAAUCCGUUCGAGUACAUGAAUUGUAAUCGCCACGAUCACAACGUCUCACAAAGCUAGAAUUAAAACCAGAAAUGAAACGUGGUGUUUUUAAUUGAGGUUUGCAAUAAAAAGAGAGCACACUUUAUAGCGUAUCAAAGUGAAUUUGAAUUAUUUACAUGGCCGAUUGAGAUCGAUGGCAUUCGGUGUCGUCUGGUUUUGCCUCUGGACUUGGACCACGUGGAAUAUUGUGAGUUGGACUUGGAAUUUCUGGCUCUGGAUCCGGUUCGAUAUCAACAUGAACGGGUUCACUUGAUGAUGGUUGUCUGGAAGAUGGAGAAAAAAAAUUGAUUGAAAAUCUGUGAAAAUUUUUCUCUUUUAAUCGAUAUGAAUUCUCACCUAAUUCCACUGCUAGCCGAAUGUGCAUGCGCUCGCAAUGCUUCCAUAUGACUUUUGCCCGGUGGCAAUGGGAUCGGACUCUCUCCGAACGCUGAAUGAGGUGGAUGUGGAUAUUGAUGAUGUGGCCCACUGAACGAAGUGCUUGCCGGGUUCGAACUGCUGCUCAAAAAAAAGAUAUCACACAUUCCGUUCAAUGAGCAUGUCGCCAAAUUUUGUUCAAUUUUACCUUUGAGUAGUUUUUGGUGUUGGUGGUUUCAUUUUGUCUUUCAUUUGCAGAAGAUUGGCAGCCUUUGUAUCUGGAUGCGGUGAUGGAUCUUCGUGUCGUGUUGCUUGACCGGGAUGAUGUGAUAUGACGGCUGGAUCUAGGCCUGGUCCAGCUGUCGGCGGUUUCAUGUAUUGAAACGGUGCCGGUCCAUACGGAUGAUAUGGAUACGGAGAGUUGAAUGGACUCUGCGAAUAGAACAGAUAUGGGGGAUACCGGUUCGGCGAGUAUGGUGAAUCAGGGAACAAGAGCAUCGGUGAUGGUAUUGGACUUUGACCAAUUAGUGGUAGUGGCACAGGCUGAGGAUGUCGUAAAACUGGCGGCGAAGGACCACUUCGCGGUUGAGGUGUCGCUUGUUGAGGUGGCUGCGGCGUUGAUUGUGACGUCGGAGUUUGUGGAUAAAUUUUAUUCAUCGGACUAUUUGGAGUCAAAAAAGGGGGAAAAAAGUUGAAUAACGCAUCCGAUUUGAAAUGGCAAAAAAAAUGUCCAUUGAAAAUUACCUCUUUUCCGUGAACAGUGGCGACGAAGAGGUUGGAGGAGGCGUCAUGUGUGACUGUCGUUUGAAAAUACCCGUGUUUGGUGUUGAUGCUCCCGGAAGAGCCGACGACGAAUGAUGUGAUAAAUGCAACGGACUGGCUCGUGUCAAACUGGUCGGCGGUUGUGACGGUGAAACUGGCCGAUGUGACGAUGGAUGCGUAAAUUGUACAUUCGGACUCGUUCUACUAAAUGCCGAGCUUGUAUUCGGUUUGUCCAUCGAAGAUGGUAUCUUCUGUGGAGCCUGAACAAAUACGAAGAGGAAUAUUUUGUAUUAGAAAAUGAAAUGGAUUCUGUCUUCAGAAGAAUUGUGCAAUCAUUCGUACCUGUACUGAUGAAAUAGAUCCUCUAGCCGACAAACUCAAUGCAGGCGAUGGACUUGUCGGUGAUCGUCGUCCAUCGACCGGUGGAAUAGCAGUCGAAGGAGAGCUGAUGCUAUAAAAUCAAACAUUUAUUAGUUAGACUUGGCACUUAUAUAUACAAAAAGGGACUGUUUGAAUCGAUAAUUACCUUGAUGCGCUAACCAAUGAUGAGCCAGGCAUUGGUAACAAUGGCGGGCCUAAGUGGCUUGCAUGCGGUGGAGGUAACAAUUGAAUCGGUGUCGUGCUCAUAUUCGGGGGAAGAUGUAAUGGAAGAGAGAGUCGCUCAUGUUCACCACGCGACAAACUUAACGCAGGCGAAAGAAUCUGACUGUUGCUGGACGAUUGCGGAAUUGCUGAUGAAAAUGCUCCACUUCCAGGGUAUCUGUAAACGAAUGGAAAAGAACAUUUUCUCAUUUGCUCAAAUCGAAGAGUUGAACACAUUAUUCAACGAUUAAUUUGAACUUGAUACUCACUGUGGGUGCAAGCCAGAUGCUUCUACGGGUGGACGAUGUAGUGCGGGAUGCACGACCGAAGACGUACUGUGAGGUGGCAUCAAACUGGCCGUUGAACCCAGCAAGUUUAAUGGUUGUACUGCAUCGAUAAUUUGAAAGGAAAAGAACAUUUGAAUCGAUUAGCGAUUGAUCAUUAUUAUCGCGUCAAAUGGAAAAUGAAAAAAAAUACUUUGACGAUUGUACCUUGAAUCGACGAUGAAGUAUUUGGAGGCACUGUAGCUGUUUGUGGUGACGUAACUAAUGAUGGAUGAUUUGGAGGUAGAUGACUUAAUGAUAAUGGAUGCGCUGGCAAUCCGCUUGGGCCAAUCAGCAUUGGAACGGCGCUCGUGUGUGGUGGUAAAUGUGACAUUAAUGCUUCCACAUUCGGUUUUGUAUCCACACCACUUUCAUGCGGUGGCGGUGGAUAUUUACCAGGUGGUCCGUAUGGCAUUCGUUCGCUUGACUCUCUGCUCAUAAGAAGAAAACAAAAUCACAAUCAAUAAAAAAAACGUCACUUUACUUUCGAUAUCAAAUUUACGAACCGUCGUUCGCCUUCAUACCCUUUCACCAGAUUGUCGGCCGAAAAUUGUGAUUUCGAUAGGUUUUCGGGUGGUUUGUAUUUCAUAUCGAUCGCCGGCGGUGUGUAUUUCAAGUCUUGCGGAAGACCUAGCGGCAUGCUAAUUGGUGCACCCGACACUUGUGGAUAUUUCGACAGCAUCGACGUUGGCUCGUAUGGUGAACGAAUAUGUUGAUACGGUUCUGUGUAUGGUGGUCGUUUUAAUGCCACAUUCUCAACGAUUUCAUUCUUUAUUUGAUCAUUUGGAACUGGAUACUUAGCUGCCGGAUUGAUAACUGGGUUGAAGAAAAAUACACAAAAAGACGCAUUCAUUAUUUUCCAUAGAAAAAAAAUCAACAAAAGAAUAGAAAUAAAUAACACAAUUAUUCUUACCCAUA